RNAcentral lists this ribosomal RNA (245 nucleotides) under uncultured bacterium. RNAcentral's name for it is "partial 16S ribosomal RNA". It matches the Rfam family "Bacterial small subunit ribosomal RNA", at positions 57 to 305 of the family's 1533-position model. The record is from RNAcentral.
GCAAGUCGAACGAUAAGCUCACUUCGGUGAGUGGACAGUGGCAGACGAGCGAGUAACGCGUACUUAACUUGCCCCGAAGUUGGGAACAACUAUGGAGACAUAGCUAAUUCCCAAUAAUAUCCUUGUGCUGAAAUGCUAUUGGAUUAAAGAUUUAUCGCUUUGGGAGAGAGGUGCGUCCUAUCAGGUAGUUGGUGAGGUAGAAGCUCACCAAGCCUAUGACGGGUAGCCGGUCUGAGAGGAUGUCC